AGGUGUGUUUCACCGGUAGGUUACAGGAACAGCCGCACGGUGGCAUUGUGCGCUCACUUACAGCGGCUCUGCCGGAAAUAAGCCGUAGAAGUAGAAGACAGUCAGCGUCAGGUGGUUCUCUGAGAGCCCCGUGUGACAGUUCGGUCCCCCUUCAGCUUUAAACCCGGUGUGAGUGGUCAACGAUGUGGACCGGGCCGGUGUUUCCGCUCUGAAGCCUCCCUCGCUGCGCUGAUGAUGCUGAAAAUGAAGCUACCGUUGAAAACGGGCGAGGAAGGAGGCGACGACACGCCCGAGGAAGACUCACUGGACCAGCAUAUCCAGUCUGGACCAGUACCUCCCUCCUCGGGGUCAGGCAGACUACACGAGUCGCCCGGGCCGUCUGUGCAUCCAUCCCAGCUGGAUAAGGAGACCGUGUUCGAGUGGUUCGGCCUACAUCUGAACCCGGCUAGGCGGGUCGAGUUCAUGUGCGGACUGCUCCACAUGUGCCAGCCCCUGGAGCUCCGCUUUCUGGGGUCUUACCUGGAGGAUCUCGCUAGAAAAGACUUCCAUGUUUUAAGGGACUUCGAGUUUCGAGCUAAUAGUCCGAGUGAUCUGGGGUUGUUGACAGACAUAAUCGACCCAGUUGUUCGGUCCAAGCUCCUGGUGUGCUUGUCCCUCCUCGGGUCUGACAGCAGGGAAUGUGCUGGAAUACUCUUUCGGAUACUGAGCCAUGUAGACCCGGCCUUGUUCUACAAGAAGUACGACUACCCGCUUCCUCCGUUCAGGGACCCUCAUUUCCAGCCACCGUGUCAGGACGGGGAUCCGGGGUCCGAGCAGAACUGCUCCUCUACCGACCCCGCGGCGGGGCCCCUGGAGCAGCUGGCCCUGCUGUUCACCAUGGCCUCUCUGCACCCAGCUUUCCAGUUCCACCAGCGGGAGAUAGUCCGAGGCCAGCUGAACAAGACGGAGCUCGCCAUGGAGGAGGAGAGACGCCAGACAGCGGAGCUGAUGUGUCACAAGACGGAUUACCUGCCUUCCCCAGCGCUGGGUUUGGGGGAAUAUAGUGCCUCCCACUCUCCCUGCCAGAGCCCACGAUCCAGCAGCUGGGCGACACAAAGAGAAGCGGUGCAUAUAGAGGGAAUUGUGCUCAGGGGCAUCUCUCAGACCAGAAUAGACAAGGAAUACAACUUUGAGGUGAAGUGGUCAGACUCUUCUUCUAGCACUGUGACCAAAACCCACCUGGAACUGGAGAACUUCCUUCUUAAGCUUCCUAAGGAUCAGUGUACUGAGUCUUUUGAGAAGAACAUCCUGAGGCUUCUGAACCCGGGGGACCAGAAGGAGACCCGGGAGGUGGAAAGGAGCCUCAGGGAAAGGUUCCUGUCGGCUCCUCCGGUCUUCAGACAGACCAGGAAGGUCUGCAGCUUCUUCAACUGUGACUCCAGUUACUCUACAAAACCUACCUGCUGCAGAUGUAACUGCCAGCUGGGUAAGGCCUACCAGGGAGACUGCUCUGAUGCCUCCAGUCAGGAGGAAGAUUUGGAGUUGUAUGUUCAGGGACACAAGAAAAAGCAUGGGACCAAGAGUCCAUGUCAGGGUCUCUCUAGUGCCAAAGCCUCCCAGGGGGAUAUUUGGAGGGGGGGGCACGCUGCAGAGCUCAACGGCCCAGCAGAGAGGAGAAAGAGUUGUACACUGAGGAGCAGCCAGAAGGCUGAACAGCACCCGGACACCGAAAAAAGAAGCCACCCAGUCGCUCAAACAAAGAGCAGAGGCCUGCCCACAGACAGGGACAAGGGAAAGGCUGCUGCCUUCAUAGCCAACGGUAGGUUGGUACCCGUUCUGUCACCUCAGAGGAAAGAUGGAGGUUCUGGUCCAGAUACCUUUGGUGAAACAUCAUCAGAAAGCUACAGCUCUCCAUCCAGCCCUCAACACCGAGGACCAGAGAGCAUGGACAGUGAGGAUGACAACAACAAAGAUACAGACAGCCACUCUGAUGACUCCAGCAAAGGUCUGGUUCCUGAUGUGUUCUUCGCCCACCAGACUGAUCUAGCUGUUGUGGGAGAGGUCCCCUCUGUCCACCCUCUGUCUUCCAACAACCACCAGGCCCAGAUGGAGCCACUCUUCCCAGACACCAGCACAGAGUUUCCCCCUCUGUCUUUCAUGCGGUCUCUGCCCUAUGUGCUCCCCAACGGGGCCGCUGACUCUCCACUUCCACUGGUCCCCCCUCUCAGCCAAAGUAUCAUCCCCGAUGUGAAGCCCUCGUCUGGGACUCUGAUAAUGCAUAUGCCCCUAGUGCCUCCAGCUGUCCCAGGCCCUGGAAUGGUGGGAGACCAAGAGAAAAGGGACAUGCACCCAAUGUUUGGUAUUCCACCUGUUGGUCACCCUUCAGGAAGUCCUGCUGUGCAGCCUCUGGUUCAGAGGUUCAAAACAGCUCUGUCUCACAGCCAGGGUGGCACUGAUGGCGCCUCGGGGGGUGGUUCUGCUCCUACUGGCCAGCAGGCUUCACACCAGGCUCCUGUAAGAGCCAUGAGUGUUAUGUCUCCUGGCCCCACAUCCUACCCUUCUCCUCUACAGCAGUCUCUGGCCUGCCAAGACCUGGCCAGUGUUGGCCCAGGCAUGGCCUCCUCCCUGCCGCAUGUGGAGAGCUCACAUGCCAGCCCGGGCUUAACCAUACCGACUGGUUUGCCUUCCCCCUACUGCCUGCCCCCUGUUACGUCUGCUGUAGGAGCACCUGUGGCCACUGGAGUCACUCCAUCUCCUGGACACGUUCAAGCAGCUGUUCCUCCAGCUGUGCCCACCCACACCCCUGGACCUGCCCCCAGUCCCAGCCCAGCGCUCACUCACAGCACGGCACACAGCGACUGCACGUCCUACAGCAACAGCAGCGCUUCCUGUGGAAGUGCCCCUGUUGCCCCUGGCAACCCUAUUAGUUUUCAGCAACCCCAGCAACAACAGUUGCCAACACCCACACCCCCCGCACCACAGCAGCAGCCGCCAGUGGGCUGCGGGACCUGUGGUUGUCAUAACAACUGCGGCGGCCGGGCUAGUGGCAGUAACAACAGCGGAGUGGGCGGCACCUCAGGCUGCCAGGCGCCCUUGUUCUUCCCUGCCCACCAAAUGGCAGCACCAGCACGGCAGGUGUUCAGUGUCCCGCCGCCUCUUUUCCAGCUCACAAGCCUGUGCAGUAACAGUUACCUCACCCAUUCCCAGUCUCCUCACCAGGCCAACGGCGCUGCCACCCUGUCUCCCUUCUUCCCCACCGCUCCACCUCCUGCACACCCACCUCCCUAUGGGCCCCUCCACACGCACUCUCACAGCCAUGCAGACGUGCCGUCACAGAUGCUGGGCACCCAGGCCGCGGUAGUGGCAGCCGCGGCAGCUGCAAACUACAACAUCCAGCAGCAGAUGGCACCGUCGUUCUGCCACCGUGUCUACCAGCAUGUGUACUCAAAUCCUCUGGGGAUGCUGCCUGCUGCUACACUGGGGGGAGCUGGAGUCAAUAAGAAGAACGGCAAUGUGUCCUGUUAUAACUGUGGUGUGAGCGGCCAUUACGCUCUGGACUGCAGCCAACCCUCCAUAGACUCCACACAGCAAGGUAGUGCAGCCUCACGGAACAGGGAGAAACAGAGGACCCCUUAGUUUCCUUCCUCCCCAGAAAAGUUAGGCCUGUCCUCAGUAGCUGUAUUUGGAGCUGUUUAAUUUCAGCUCUGGUGGGUUACCUCCUUCAGUUUAUUUGGCCAGAAGAGAAGCUGUGCCACUGGAACAUUCAAAUUGCACCAAAUAACAAGGAGUAGGAGUCCGAAUGUGGCUUUCGGUUAAAGUACGCAGCCUCCCACAUUUCAGAAGCACUUGACAAUGCCGACUGAAGAAGAGGAAAGGACGAAGGCGAGAUUCUCUGGUCUUUCCACAGCGAUGUUCCUCUGGUUUCUCCCUGUGGACUUCAUGUCAAAAAGAGAGGGUGACCUGCCAAGGACCUGCCAUGAAGCUGAAGUACAUGUGCCUGAGGAAAUGUGGUUCCCAUGGAGAUGAUUCACUGUCUCAUGAACACCCUUUCAGUUUCUUAUCGAUAUUUUUGCACUGAGGGUUGGAAACAAUUAACUUAUUACUUAAUUAUUAGGAUGUUCCUAGAUUUAAUUUUCUGUUUUUACAUUUAAGUGGAGAGUAAGGUUCUUACCUUUAUUUCUAAAACAGCAUAUUUAUGCUUUUUCCUCAUUAUUACUGUUCAACUAGAUUUUUUUGUCUGACAGAAUUGUACAGCAGUUUCAGAGAUUAAAACAAGAAUCAAAAAAGUAAUGUAACAAAAUGGCUUUUAGGUUUGUUUUCAUUUUAAUAAGUUGUAAGGUUUCUGAAUGUACACCUCGUUUAAGGAACCUGACCGUGUCAAAGUGUGUUUGUCACUCGAUUGUGUUCAGUUGGAAGGUAACUGCAGCUUUGUAAUGUAUUUUUUCCAUUUUAAAAUAGUUUUACUUGAAAUGCACUACAGCAAGGCAGGAACACGAGUGCACUAAAACGGUCCGCACCACAACCAAGCCUAUAAGCAUUUAUUAAUUUUUCACCAUCAGAGAGCAAAUCCAUCAUUUUGACUAUUUCAGUAUACAUUAGUAUUUCAGGUGUGAAAAUGCUUUUUAUGGUUAAUAGUUUAGAGAGUGAGACCUCACUGUGGUGUAACUUAAAGUUCAAUUUAAGCAGGAAAUCAUUCUACCACCAUCCCAGAUGAGUACACUGACAGUAGUCAGAUCACUUCUCCCCUUUGGUCAAGAGCAAGCUGUUUUGUUUAGUCUAAAGCCAUUAUCCUGUUUGGACACUUGUAAUCUUUUGUCGUCCUCAAGACAGGCUUUAAAACUGUUCAGCCCUGCUGGGUGGUACUAAGGCCUCAGUUUGCUUCAAACAAACUAGCACCCACCAUGUAAAGGCCUCAGUCUCUCUCCAGGAGCGUCCAGGCUAGUGUCUUGUUAGCCUGAAAAUCAUUUUUUCACUCACUUUUAAUUCAGCAUGUUGAUCGUUUUCUGGCUGGGCGAGGGGUUACCUUGUCUCUUGAUGUCUGUUUUAUCCUAAACAGAAGCUGCAGUGGUGAUUGCCAGAACCAUUAAAGUUAACCCUUUCCACGUCAAUUGAAGAAAUACGCCAGUUUAUUUGAGUGGGGUUAAGUCCUCUUACAACAACUGCACAGCUGUGUCAGUCUCAUCCACACCUGAUGCUGCAAUUCUGUCACAUUUUUUCCUGACUAUAGCUAGGUAGCUGGUUUUUUUGGAAGAUGAUGUUCCCAAGUAAGACUGUAACAUUUGCUGAAUUGUGCCCAGAAGUGACAUUUACAGGAUGUUUAAUUCUAGAGAACAAUUAUAAAGUUAGUGAAGUGACCAGGUAACUACAAACUAACAUCUAUCCAAAGGCUCCUACCAAUAGCCACCAUUUGGUCUAUACCAGACCAAAUAAGGCUGUAGCAGCAAAGUAAAAGUGUUUGUGCAUGGGUGACUUUAUCUCAUGGAUUCAGUGUUUUAUUUGGAAGAUGAAGACUGUGCUUAAAGUGACACAGAUCCACCUGUUAAACACCAGACUGUGUGGUGCCUCGACACAAAGAAGGAAAAAUGGCACACACUUUGGAAAAACAUUCUUGGUGUAGCACUUGGUUGUUGUGAGUGAUGGAAGUAGUUGUGUGAACAAUGAAAAAUGAGCUUGAGAAUUCAAGCUCUGCCUGCUGUCACACCUCCACAUGUAAAGUCGACUUUGGAAAGUUAAGCAAAUUGUCGGACUCUGUUUGAAGCGUACUGACGCAUUAAAGACAAGUCGUGAAGAUAUUUCUAUAGUGGGAAAAAAAGCUCAGACAAGAUAAACACUACUUUCCUACCCUUUUGGUAUAUUAAUACUGUAAAGUUUGUUUCAUCUGGCAGCUGUAUUUGUAUGUCAGAUCACCUCUGAAAGAGUUAACUGUUCGCAGCUGGUUCCAUAUUAAGCCUAUAAGAGAGCAGGAUGUCACAGUGCGUUGAAGCUGAAACACAGAGGAGGGCAGUAAAUGACUUUUAUAUAAUAAAUAUAUCUGAAAUAUGUA
RNA transcript from Micropterus salmoides (largemouth bass), 6022 nucleotides. It is a transcript of the gene named zinc finger, CCHC domain containing 2, with no coding region annotated. The transcript is spliced from 14 exons. Lineage: Eukaryota; Metazoa; Chordata; Actinopteri; Centrarchiformes; Centrarchidae. The record is from RefSeq and is a predicted model, not a curated record.